AUUGAACGCUGGCGGCAGGCCUAACACAUGCAAGUCGAGCGGUAGCACAGAGAGCUUGCUCUCGGGUGACGAGCGGCGGACGGGUGAGUAAUGUCUGGGAAACUGCCUGAUGGAGGGGGAUAACUACUGGAAACGGUAGCUAAUACCGCAUAACGUCGCAAGACCAAAGUGGGGGACCUUCGGGCCUCAUGCCAUCAGAUGUGCCCAGAUGGGAUUAGCUAGUAGGUGGGGUAACGGCUCACCUAGGCGACGAUCCCUAGCUGGUCUGAGAGGAUGACCAGCCACACUGGAACUGAGACACGGUCCAGACUCCUACGGGAGGCAGCAGUGGGGAAUAUUGCACAAUGGGCGCAAGCCUGAUGCAGCCAUGCCGCGUGUGUGAAGAAGGCCUUCGGGUUGUAAAGCACUUUCAGCGGGGAGGAAGGCGGUGAGGUUAAUAACCUCAUCGAUUGACGUUACCCGCAGAAGAAGCACCGGCUAACUCCGUGCCAGCAGCCGCGGUAAUACGGAGGGUGCAAGCGUUAAUCGGAAUUACUGGGCGUAAAGCGCACGCAGGCGGUCUGUCAAGUCGGAUGUGAAAUCCCCGGGCUCAACCUGGGAACUGCAUUCGAAACUGGCAGGCUAGAGUCUUGUAGAGGGGGGUAGAAUUCCAGGUGUAGCGGUGAAAUGCGUAGAGAUCUGGAGGAAUACCGGUGGCGAAGGCGGCCCCCUGGACAAAGACUGACGCUCAGGUGCGAAAGCGUGGGGAGCAAACAGGAUUAGAUACCCUGGUAGUCCACGCCGUAAACGAUGUCGAUUUGGAGGUUGUGCCCUUGAGGCGUGGCUUCCGGAGCUAACGCGUUAAAUCGACCGCCUGGGGAGUACGGCCGCAAGGUUAAAACUCAAAUGAAUUGACGGGGGCCCGCACAAGCGGUGGAGCAUGUGGUUUAAUUCGAUGCAACGCGAAGAACCUUACCUGGUCUUGACAUCCACAGAACUUUCCAGAGAUGGAUUGGUGCCUUCGGGAACUGUGAGACAGGUGCUGCAUGGCUGUCGUCAGCUCGUGUUGUGAAAUGUUGGGUUAAGUCCCGCAACGAGCGCAACCCUUAUCCUUUGUUGCCAGCGGUCCGGCCGGGAACUCAAAGGAGACUGCCAGUGAUAAACUGGAGGAAGGUGGGGAUGACGUCAAGUCAUCAUGGCCCUUACGACCAGGGCUACACACGUGCUACAAUGGCAUAUACAAAGAGAAGCGACCUCGCGAGAGCAAGCGGACCUCAUAAAGUAUGUCGUAGUCCGGAUUGGAGUCUGCAACUCGACUCCAUGAAGUCGGAAUCGCUAGUAAUCGUAGAUCAGAAUGCUACGGUGAAUACGUUCCCGGGCCUUGUACACACCGCCCGUCACACCAUGGGAGUGGGUUGCAAAAGAAGUAGGUAGCUUAACCUUCGGGAGGGCGCUUACCACUUUGUGAUUCAUGACUGGGGUGA
This 1463-nucleotide ribosomal RNA is filed under the name uncultured Klebsiella sp. RNAcentral describes it as "bacterial SSU rRNA". It matches the Rfam family "Bacterial small subunit ribosomal RNA". The record is from RNAcentral. Lineage: Bacteria; Pseudomonadati; Pseudomonadota; Gammaproteobacteria; Enterobacterales; Enterobacteriaceae.